AGCGAACGUUGGCGGCAGGCCUAACACAUGCAAGUCGAACGAACCUUUCGGGGUUAGUGGCGGACGGGUGAGUAACACGUGGGAACGUGCCUUUAGGUUCGGAAUAACUCAGGGAAACUUGUGCUAAUACCGAAUGUGCCCUUCGGGGGAAAGAUUUAUCGCCUUUAGAGCGGCCCGCGUCUGAUUAGCUAGUUGGUUGAGGUAAUGGCUCACCAAGGCGACGAUCAGUAGCUGGUCUGAGAGGAUGAUCAGCCACAUUGGGACUGAGACACGGCCCAAACUCCUACGGGAGGCAGCAGUGGGGAAUCUUGCGCAAUGGGCGAAAGCCUGACGCAGCCAUGCCGCGUGAAUGAUGAAGGUCUUAGGAUUGUAAAAUUCUUUCACCGGGGACGAUAAUGACGGUACCCGGAGAAGAAGCCCCGGCUAACUUCGUG
This 434-nucleotide ribosomal RNA is filed under the name uncultured bacterium. RNAcentral's name for it is "partial 16S ribosomal RNA". It matches the Rfam family "Bacterial small subunit ribosomal RNA", at positions 29 to 507 of the family's 1533-position model. The record is from RNAcentral.